GGCGAAUUGUGUUGGGAUGCGUUUUGCACUCCUAGAGUUGAAAGUAUGUCUCGUCUACGUAUUCAGUGCUUUCCAAGCAAAGAGAUGUUCUCAAACACAGGUACCGGUACAAUUUAGGAACUCGGGUGGUCUUUUGUCACCAAAACCAAUUGAAUUAAUCAUGGAACCUAGAACUAAUUGCCCUGUGAA
Molecule: non-coding RNA, 189 nt
Organism: Parasteatoda tepidariorum (common house spider)
Lineage: Eukaryota; Metazoa; Arthropoda; Arachnida; Araneae; Theridiidae
Source: RefSeq, a predicted model, not a curated record